ACCUGGGUGGCUCAGUUGGUUAAGUGUCUGACUUUGACUCAGGUCAUGAUCUCGUGGUUCGUGGGUUCGAGUCCCGCGUCAGGCU
This 85-nucleotide transfer RNA is filed under the name Felis catus (domestic cat). It matches the Rfam family "tRNA". Rfam says of the family: Transfer RNA (tRNA) molecules are approximately 80 nucleotides in length. The record is from Rfam by way of RNAcentral. Lineage: Eukaryota; Metazoa; Chordata; Mammalia; Carnivora; Felidae.